CACAAAUGAAGGGGACUUCAUUGGUGUCCAUCUGUAUUGUCUUUGGUUUAUAUUGUAUAAGUUGUUUUCUCUUUAAUCUUCCAACUUCUUCUAAAUCUUGGUUCAAAGAUAUUUCAUUGUACCCCUUUUCCAAAAACUGCCGUUUAAUAUAAGUGGCCUGUUUUAAAUAAUCACUAUCUAAUUUGCAGUUCCGUCGAAUCCUUAGAAAUUGACUUCUUGGAGCAUUGUGGAGCCAAGGUUUAUGAUGGCAGCUAUUAGUAUUUAUGUAGCUGUUUGCAUCAACUGGUUUAAAAUAAUUACUGGUAACUAUCGUCGCAUCUUCGAUCCUGAUGUUAAGAUCUAAAAAAUGAAUGUUGGAUGCACUAUUGUUGCAAGUAAGAUGAAUUCCAUAAUCAUUGGUAUUUAACUGGGUAAUAAAUGAUUGUAAGUCUUCUAUGGUGCCAGUCCAAAUAAAAAAGAUAUCGUCUAUGAAGCGGCAAUAGGACACCAAACUCGCCCCCCACACAUGGUUUGAUAAUACCCAUGUUUCUUCCCAAAAUGCCAUAAAGAGAUUGGCAUAACUCGGGGCGAAUUUGGUGCCCAUCGCCGUCCCACAGAUUUGUAGAUAAAACGUAUUUUCGAGCCAAAAAUAAUUAUGGGAUAAAAUUAGUAAAAUUCCUUCUAAAAUAUAUUGAAUCUGUUCUUCUUUAAAAUUAGAUUUGGUUAAAAAAUGUUUUACUGCUGCUAUUCCCUUGUCAUGAGGUAUAAUACUAUACAUUGUAGUGACAUCGCAUGUAACUAAUGUAUUGCCCUCUGUCCAUUUAGUUUCUUCUAAAAUUUGUAAAAUAUGAAUGGUAUCUUUAAGAUAUGUUGGAUUUUUUAUCACAAUCGGCUGAAGAAUGGUAUCGAUAUAUUCAGAGAUCCUAGUGGAGAUUGAGUCUAUCCCCGAUAUAAUUGGUCUUCCUGGGGGGUUAGUAAUAUUUUUAUGGAUUUUAGGUAAUAAGUAAAAAACCGGUAUUUUUGGGUUAUCUAUCCACAAGUAAUUUGCUUCCUUUUCAGUAAGGAUUCCUAAAGUUUUUCCUUUUUCCACAUACUGUUUGAAAAUCUCCAUAGUAGCAUUAGUGGGAUUAUAUGUCAGUUUCUGGUAAGUUGAAGAAUCUGAAAGUAUUCUAUUUGCUUCCUUAAUGUAUGCCUCUUUGUCAAGAAUAACGGUUCCUCCACCCUUGUCCGCGGGCUUGAUUACUAAUUGAUCAUUAUUUUUAAUGACGUUUAAGGCUUUUUUUUCCCCUAUUGAUAAGUUGUGUUUAUAUUUAUUGGUUCUCUUGAGUUUCUCUACAUCCUUCAUCACCAUAGUUUCAAAAGUUUGAACAGCAUCCGAAAUUAGAUGUCUUGGGAAGAAUUGUGAUUUUGGCCUAAGCUGUCUAUGAAAAUAUUCAUUGUCAUGUUCUUCU
Molecule: non-coding RNA, 1430 nt
Organism: Pelobates cultripes (western spadefoot toad)
Lineage: Eukaryota; Metazoa; Chordata; Amphibia; Anura; Pelobatidae
Source: the annotation of a GenBank genome assembly